UUCGUCACAUCCGGUGAUGUUACGCUCAUCCGCUUCCUAUACCUCGUUACACCUCAAGAACGCAAUACAUGAAACUCUCAGCAUAUAGAGUUCUGUCAACAGGUGUACUAAAAGAGGUACGAUUAUUUGUUGUGAUCAGUAUAUCCCAUCCAGAUUUGUACGUGUUACAGCUUUGGAGUGAUUGAUAAAAUCUUUCGUCGUCAUGGCACAGGAUAAUCCAGCUUUCGAACUUAAGAACGAAACAAACGCCGCAGGAAAAGAAAGCCAGACAAAAGUUGAUGAAACACAGGCGUCUAUUGUGGAAGUCACAAACGAAGGCAGAGUUAGGGGUGACAUCUUAUACACAGUGGAUGAAGCUCCUCGUUGGUACCUCUGUAUCCUACUUGGGAUUCAGCAAUAUCUGACGAUGUUCGGGUCGACUGUGGCAUAUCCUUAUUUGGUCACACCAAAGCUCUGCAUCCAAGACUCCGACCCAGCUCGAGGGUACAUAACAUCAACAAUAUUUUUUGUGUCAGGCUUAGGGACCCUAAUCCAGUCAACAUUCGGUACAAGGCUCCCGAUAAUUCAAGGCUCGUCUUCUGCCUUUCUGGCUUCGAUAUUUGCUAUUUUGAACUUACCUCAGUGGAAGUGUCCUAGUGAGGAAGAAAUGCUGUCGGCAACAGAAGACGAGCUACAAGAAAUCUGGCAACUCCGAAUGAGAGAGAUCCAAGGUGCUAUCAUUGUGGCGUCCAUCUUUGAAACGGUUAUUGGACUCACAGGUGUUAUUGGAAUAAUACUUCAGUGGUUAACUCCUUUAGUUAUUGUCCCAACCAUAGCGUUGAUAGGACUUUCUCUAUUCGAAGAAGCAGCUUCUGAAGCUAGUAAAAACUGGGGAAUAGCGAUUUUAACAAUUUUCCUUCUUGUGCUCUUCUCACAGUACCUCCGAAAUGUUAAUAUUCCUGGUUGUAGCUACAGUAAAGAAACAGGAUGGAAGCUCAAACGAUUCCCCCUUUUCAAGCUUUUUCCAGUGUUACUUACCAUAAUUACUGCGUGGGUUCUUUGUACCAUACUAACUGCUGCAGGUGCCCUAGGACCAACCAACAAAGCCAGAACUGAUCUUCAUGUACAGACGAUGUACUCCAGCCUCUGGUUUAGGUUUCCUUAUCCAGGACAAUGGGGUUUACCAACAGUCAGUAUUGGUGCAGUUUUUGGAAUAUUUGCAGCAGUAUUAGCGUCGAUAGUGGAAUCGGUAGGAGAUUACUACGCAUGCGCGCGACUAUCUUGUGCACCUCAUCCUCCAACAAGCGCCAUAAAUCGUGGAAUUUUUGCGGAAGGUAUUUCCUGUAUCCUCUCUGGAAUCUGGGGAUCUGGAGGCGGGCUAACUUCCUAUAGUGAAAAUAUUGGAGCAAUUGGAGUAACAAAAGUAGCUAGUCGACGGGUUGUUCAGUGUGGUGCUGUUACCAUGAUGAUUCUUGCAGUUCUGGGAAAGUUUGGAGCCUUCUUCAACACUAUUCCUGAGCCCAUUAUUGGAGGAAUCUUCUGUGUCAUGUUUGCAAUUGUAACGGGAGUUGGACUGUCCAAUGUCCAAUUCAUCGACCUCCACUCAUCCAGAAAUAUUCUUAUCCUUGGAUUAUCUUUAUUUAUGGGGAUUACCAUUCCAAAGUGGUUUAAGGGCCACCCAGGUACUAUUGAUGUAGGGAAUGACGCAGCAAACCAACUCAUUACAGUUCUUUUGAACACCAGUAUGUUUAUUGGUGGACUCAUUGCGUUUGUAUUAGACAAUUCCAUACCAGUCUGUUCGUAAAAUGUUUACGAAUCCUUUUGACUGUCCCUUCACAAAGUGUUCACUUGAAGUUACGUCAAAGUGAAACUAAGAUCCCCCGAAAGCUCAAUGGGACAGAUGAAGAAAGAGGACUCAUCAAAUGGAGAGAACAAGGUCUAGAACAUAAUAUAUCUGAAGCUGAUGAGUCGACACUUUCGUCACCUUCAACCUAUGACCUCCCGUUC
Molecule: unclassified non-coding RNA, 1986 nt
Filed under: Limulus polyphemus (Atlantic horseshoe crab)
Lineage: Eukaryota; Metazoa; Arthropoda; Merostomata; Xiphosura; Limulidae
Description: solute carrier family 23 member 2-like, transcript variant X2
Source: RNAcentral